CUAGACAUGUACAACACCUCAUGUCAAACAAUUGAUUGUAACAAAAGUGCAACAACCUACUACAUACUUGUUCUUUGUUUCGUUUUUUUUGUCGGUCAAACAUGCUUGUUUAACUAUAUAUGAAACAUAUGUUAUCAAUAAACAAGUUCCUUAAAAACGUGUUUGUAAUUAAAAAAAACAAAAAAACACAUUUGUUGUCCAUUGUACAUUGUUGUAAAAACGGGUUUGUAUUAAAAAAAACAAAAAAACACAUUUGUUGUACAUUUGUUACAACAAAAAAACACAUUUGUUCUACAAUUAAAAAAAAACAUGAAAAUUAUAUGGACAUUGAGAGAGGAAAUCAG
Molecule: long non-coding RNA, 344 nt
Filed under: Capsella rubella
Lineage: Eukaryota; Viridiplantae; Streptophyta; Magnoliopsida; Brassicales; Brassicaceae
Description: long non-coding RNA (CRUB_LNC004182)
Source: RNAcentral